Molecule: long non-coding RNA, 413 nt
Organism: Gossypium arboreum
Lineage: Eukaryota; Viridiplantae; Streptophyta; Magnoliopsida; Malvales; Malvaceae
Exons: 2
Source: RefSeq, a predicted model, not a curated record
AGUAAGGGUACCUUUCUUGGCUAAUCCCUUUCGCUUUAUGGCGUGCUCGUUUGGGUUGGGCGUCGGCUAAGAGUGCUCGGAGCGUAGAUUAACUCCAGUCUCCAAUUAGGUAAUCCCUAAGCUUAUAUGGUUUAGAGCUGCGAGGGACUCGGAGAUGGCCACAGUACUGGUUAUGUUUCUUUUAAUUGCAAUAAGUAGCUGAUUUAUUUCUUUAUAAGUAUUAUCUUAAUUAAUAUUAUUAUUUGGUUUUGGGUUGUAAUAAGGCCAUUUUAAUUAUUUUUCUGGGAUUAUUUUAUUUUAUACCCUAUAUUUUACUGAUAACAAUCCAAAAUGGGUUAGACUUAGGACGCGUUUCCAAAAUGAUAAUUGUUUUCAAGAUAACACAAUGAUACAAUUAAUCAGUUUAUCAAAAA